CCGCGUUAGGGAUAGCAGCGGCAUCCUUUUUAAAAGGAGACUGAGGAACUCGAAGUCACCGUUUAAAAAGAUAGAGCGCAUAGCCCGACCUGAA
Molecule: non-coding RNA, 94 nt
Filed under: unclassified sequences
Also listed under: 1 other name
Description: Flavo-1 RNA
Rfam family: Flavo-1 RNA
Source: RNAcentral